Long non-coding RNA from Cervus elaphus (red deer), 390 nucleotides. RefSeq lists it as uncharacterized. The record is from RefSeq and is a predicted model, not a curated record. The transcript has 3 exons. NCBI's taxonomy places the organism in Eukaryota, Metazoa, Chordata, Mammalia, Artiodactyla, Cervidae.
GAUUUGAUCAUCAAACCAAUUGUGUGCUGGGGACAAGAGUUCAUACGUGAACGUCCACUACAGGCCAAGCACUGGAAGGAGCUGAAGUCUAGGCUGGAGAUUUCAAUAAGCAAACUGCCAGACUCUGGGAGGGAACCUGCCCUGCUUUGUCGCUCAUCUCUCUGGAGAAAACUGAAGACAGGAGCUUGGCCUCAAGGAGACAGGUCCCCAAACUGCAGAGCCAGGGUAUCCACACCGCACUGAGGAGCCACAGGGGGAGGAAAAAGAGCUCCUGCUCUGAAAGCUGCCAUGGGAGUCUGGGACCCACUCCCAGAGGGAAGCUUUCUAGAACAGGGACACGAGAUGGACGGAAAUCAGUUACACGCACCAUGGAAACUGGGCAGAUAAAUC